GAUGAACGCUAGCGGGAGGCUUAACACAUGCAAGUCGAGGGGCAGCACGAGGUAGCAAUACUUUGGUGGCGACCGGCGCACGGGUGAGUAACGCGUAUGCAACCUACCCUGUACAGGGGGAUAACCCGGAGAAAUUCGGACUAAUACCCCAUAAUGAUAUCUGGAGGCAUCUUUAGAUAUUUAAAGUUCCGGCGGUACGGGAUGGGCAUGCGUAACAUUAGCUAGUUGGCAGGGUAACGGCCUACCAAGGCUACGAUGUUUAGGGGACCUGAGAGGGUGACCCCCCACACUGGUACUGAGACACGGACCAGACUCCUACGGGAGGCAG
This 328-nucleotide ribosomal RNA is filed under the name uncultured Bacteroidota bacterium. RNAcentral describes it as "bacterial SSU rRNA". It matches the Rfam family "Bacterial small subunit ribosomal RNA", at positions 28 to 351 of the family's 1533-position model. The record is from RNAcentral. Lineage: Bacteria; Pseudomonadati; Bacteroidota.